UACGAGUGCCUCAAGCGUUAUCCGGAAUCAUUGGGCGUAAAGGAUGUGUAGGUGGUUGUGUUAGUCUCUUGUUAAAUUCUUCGGCUUAACCGGGGGCAUGCAAGGGAAACGGCACGACUCGAGGAUGCGAGGGGUCUGCGGAACUCAUAGUGUAGCGGUGAAAUGCGUUGAUAUUAUGGGGGAACACCAAAAGCGAAGGCAGCAGACUGGAGCACUCCUGACACUGAAACAUGAAAGCGUGGGUCGCGAAUAGG
Molecule: ribosomal RNA, 254 nt
Filed under: uncultured bacterium
Lineage: Bacteria
Description: partial 16S ribosomal RNA
Rfam family: Bacterial small subunit ribosomal RNA
Source: RNAcentral